AUUGAACGCUGGCGGCAGGCUUAACACAUGCAAGUCGAACGAGUGGCGGACGGGUGAGUAAUGCUUGGGAAUCUAGCUUAUGGAGGGGGAUAACUACGGGAAACUGUAGCUAAUACCGCGUACCAUAGGAUGAGCCCAGGUGGGAUUAGGUAGUUGGUGAGGUAAAGGCUCACCAAGCCGACGAUCCCUGGCUGGGCUGAGAGGAUGACCAGCCACACUGGGACGGAGACACGGCCCAGACUCCUACGGGAGGAAGCAGUGGGGAAUAUUGCGCAAUGGGGGAAACCUGAUGCAGCCAUGCCGCGUGAAUGAAGAAGGCUUGCGGGUUGUAAAGUUCUUUCGGUAGGGAGGCGUUAACUACAGAAGAAGCACCGGCUAACUCCGUGCCAGCAGCCGCGGUAAUAC
RNAcentral lists this ribosomal RNA (405 nucleotides) under uncultured bacterium. RNAcentral's name for it is "partial 16S ribosomal RNA". It matches the Rfam family "Bacterial small subunit ribosomal RNA", at positions 30 to 526 of the family's 1533-position model. The record is from RNAcentral.